This 72-nucleotide transfer RNA is filed under the name [Clostridium] innocuum. RNAcentral's name for it is "tRNA-Arg". It matches the Rfam family "tRNA". From Rfam's summary of the family: Transfer RNA (tRNA) molecules are approximately 80 nucleotides in length. Their secondary structure includes four short double-helical elements and three loops (D, anti-codon, and T loops). Further hydrogen bonds mediate the characteristic L-shaped molecular structure. tRNAs have two regions of fundamental functional importance: the anti-codon, which is responsible for specific mRNA codon recognition, and the 3' end, to which the tRNAs corresponding amino acid is attached (by aminoacyl-tRNA synthetases). tRNAs cope with the degeneracy of the genetic code in two manners: having more than one tRNA (with a specific anti-codon) for a particular amino acid; and 'wobble' base-pairing, i.e. permitting non-standard base-pairing at the 3rd anti-codon position. Lineage: Bacteria; Bacillati; Bacillota; Clostridia; Eubacteriales; Clostridiaceae. The record is from RNAcentral. RNAcentral also lists the same sequence under 6 other names.
GCUCAUAUAGUUCAAUGGAUAGAACGACCGGCUACGGACCGGCUGAUUCAGGUUCGAGUCCUGAUAUGAGUG